CCUACGGGCGGCAGCAGUGGGGAAUAUUGGGCAAUGGGCGCAAGCCUGACCCAGCAACGCCGCGUGAAGGAAGAAGGCUUUCGGGUUGUAAACUUCUUUUAAGGGGGAAGAGCAGAAGACGGUACCCCUUGAAUAAGCCACGGCUAACUACGUGCCAGCAGCCGCGGUAAUACGUAGGUGGCAAGCGUUGUCCGGAUUUACUGGGGGUAAAGGGCGUGCAGCCGGAGAGACAAGUCAGAUGUGAAAUCCACGGGCUCAACCCGUGAACUGCCUUUGAAACUGUUUCCCUGGAGUGUCGGAGAGGUAAUCGGAAUUCCUGGUGUAGCGGUGAAAUGCGUAGAGAUUAGGAAGAACACCAGUGGCGAAGGCGAUUCUCUGGACUGUAACUGACGCUGAGGCUCGAAAGCGUGGGGAGCAAACAGGAUUAGAUACCCGAGUAGUC
This 442-nucleotide ribosomal RNA is filed under the name uncultured bacterium. RNAcentral describes it as "partial 16S ribosomal RNA". It matches the Rfam family "Bacterial small subunit ribosomal RNA", at positions 338 to 795 of the family's 1533-position model. The record is from RNAcentral.